CAACAGGGAUUGCCCUAGUAACGGCGAGUGAAGCGGCAACAGCUCAAAUUUGAAAUCUGGCUCUCGGGCCCGAGUUGUAAUUUGUAGAGGAUACUUUUGAUGCGGUGCCUUCCGAGUUCCCUGGAACGGGACGCCAUAGAGGGUGAGAGCCCCGUCUGGUUGGAUGCCAAAUCUCUGUAAAGUUCCUUCGACGAGUCGAGUAGUUUGGGAAUGCUGCUCUAAAUGGGAGGUAUAUGUCUUCUAAAGCUAAAUACCGGCCAGAGACCGAUAGCGCACAAGUAGAGUGAUCGAAAGAUGAAAAGCACUUUGAAAAGAGAGUUAAAAAGUACGUGAAAUUGUUGAAAGGGAAGCGUUUAUGACCAGACUUGGGCUUGGUUGAUCAUCUGGGGUUCUCCCCAGUGCACUCUUCCAGUCCAGGCCAGCAUCAGUUUUCCCCGGGGG
Molecule: ribosomal RNA, 441 nt
Filed under: Fusarium sp. UMAF_0927
Lineage: Eukaryota; Fungi; Ascomycota; Sordariomycetes; Hypocreales; Nectriaceae
Description: eukaryotic LSU rRNA
Rfam family: Eukaryotic large subunit ribosomal RNA
Source: RNAcentral